RNAcentral lists this ribosomal RNA (497 nucleotides) under uncultured bacterium. RNAcentral's name for it is "partial 16S ribosomal RNA". It matches the Rfam family "Bacterial small subunit ribosomal RNA", at positions 28 to 507 of the family's 1533-position model. The record is from RNAcentral.
GAUGAACGCUGGCGGCGUGCCUAACACAUGCAAGUCGAGCGAACAGACGAGGAGCUUGCUCCUUUGACGUUAGCGGCGGACGGGUGAGUAACACGUGGGUAAACUAACUAUAAGACUGGGAUAACUUCGGGAAAUCGUAGCUAAUACCGGAUAAUAUUUCGAACCGCAUGGGUCGAUAGUUAAAGAUGGCAUUGCUAUCACUUAAAGAUUGACCUGCGCCGUAUUAGUUAGUUGGUAAGGUGACUGCUUACCAAGGCAACGAUACGUACCCGACCCGAACGCGUGAUCGGAUACACGGGAACUGAGACACGGUCCAGACUCCGACGGGAGGAAGCAGUCCGGAAUCUUCCGCAAUGGGGGAAUGCCUGACGGAGCAACGCCGCGUGAGUGAUGAUGGUCUUCGGAUCGUAAAGCGAUGUUGUUAGGAAAGAAGUAACGUGUAAGUAACUGUGCACGUCUUGACGGUACCGAAUCAGAAAGCCACGGCUAACUCCGUG